Molecule: long non-coding RNA, 1012 nt
Filed under: Ficedula albicollis (Collared flycatcher)
Lineage: Eukaryota; Metazoa; Chordata; Aves; Passeriformes; Muscicapidae
Description: lncRNA (ENSFALG00000027517.1)
Source: RNAcentral
UGGCAGCACCGUCGGGGGACCCUGCAGUGCACUAGCUCUGCAUCUUGCCUCACCUUUGCCAAGGGGAUGGCCUCCCUAAAUGCUGCCCAGACCUGUCUCCCAGCAUUUUAAGAGAUGUCCCCAGGCCACCAGGCUGCACCGGAGUGCUCUUCCCUCUCCAGGGAGCAUCCCUAUCCUUCCCUCCACCUUCUGCUUCCCUAGACAGCUCCAAGAGGGUCUCCGCCUCCCUUCUAGGAGCACUUCAGGCAACGCAAGCUGAGGGUCGCCUCCCCAGCGCCUGUUCCCGGCCAAGGGCCACUAAUAUCCCUGAGCUGGAGGCUGCUCCAAUCGCUGCCAGGCUGCACCCUCUGCUGGGACCCGCAGGCAUCGGCGCGGACUCGCACCGAGCCUUGGAGCUGUCGAGCAGCGGGGAGGACACGAAGAGGACCCCCGAGUCCUGCCCCAGCCCGUCCUUGCUGCCACCCCUCAGUCCCCGGUUCUUGUUGAUGCCGGGUGUACUGACACCACCCCCAGCUGCCCACACUGCAUUCUCCAUAACCAACAAUGCCCGGGUCCCUUGUGGUGUUGACCCCAUGCCCAGGACCCCCAGAAGGGCUGGAGUUUUCCUGGGAAGGUUUGAGGUGCUAUGGUUCAGCCCUUGCCCAGUGGCCAGCGUGGCACCUGCCCAGCUGAAGGUGGGGAGUGCCCGGUCUCCCCACAGACUACACAGGGAUGCUGCAAGAAACUCUGCUGCCUAGACACCCAGGAUUUCACCGCUCAACAGGGCACUCUUCCUCCUUUCCCCCAGCCUGUGCUGGCCUCAUCCAUCCCAGGCGCUGGUAGGAGACACUGCAUGACACGGUGCAGUUCCAGGCAGGGCUGGCACUCCUGUCCAGGUGAAGGGGACAGCUCUGCCCCAAAGCUGGUCCCCUUCCCGCUGUGCAGUGUCCCUUGCCCGAGUGGGAGGUAAGUGGGAGCACAGGGAGCUCUUUGUCAAGCCAGGGGACGUGCUCAGGCCAUUACAAGCGUGUAA